Oncorhynchus tshawytscha (Chinook salmon) is the source of this 1677-nucleotide long non-coding RNA. Lineage: Eukaryota; Metazoa; Chordata; Actinopteri; Salmoniformes; Salmonidae. The record is from Ensembl.
CGUGAACGCAGCUCCUCAGCAGCAACUCGUCGAUAGUCAGCAUUCACACCUGUCGUCGCUCUCCUUUUUUAUUGCAUAUGACGCGACCUAGUGUUGUUGUUUUCUGUAUUGAUCCCCUCAAAUUCCUUAAAUGAUGUGUCUUUAAUGUUCUAUCAUAGUUUUUUUUUUUUUUUCUUAUUUUUGAAGUAUAAAUAGUUUUUGCAUCACUACCCCAAGUUUUCAUACAUGGGUCAAAUAUGACCUUUAUGUAUUUCCAAUGGAAAUAUUGUUUUAUGGAAGAUGGAUGAUUUUCUGCCAAUCAAAAGGUUGAGGGCAGGUCUUCCUAUGGUGCUACAGACUGCGGAAGCCCUGUUUACUCAUAUCUUCCGGCACUACGGGGUGCCUGAGGAUAUACUGUCUGAUCGGGGUCCCCAGUUCACGUCGAGAGUGUUGAAGGCGUUCCUGGAACAUCUGGGGUUCUCGGUCAGCCUUACCCCGGGUUUUCACCCCGAGAAUAACAGUCAGGUAGAGAGAGUCAACCAGGAUGUGGGCAGGUUUCUGCGGUCCUAUUGCCAGGACCGGCCGGGGGAGUGGGCGGCAUUCGUCCCCGAGGUCAGGUGUCUGCGUGACGCUGGAGCCGCGCGUCAAGGGGGGGAUACUGUCACGAUUUCCGCCAAUGUCGGCUCCUCUCCUUGUUCGGGCGGCGUUCAGCGAUCGACGUCACCGGCUUUCUAGCCAUCGCCGCUCCAUUUCUCAUAUAUCCAUUUGUUUUGUCUUGUUCCAUACACACCUGGUUCCAAUUCCGUUAUCACUGCAUGUAUUUAGUCCUCUGUUCCCCUCCAAGUCUUUGUGUGUAAUUAUUUUUUGUUAUGUGGAUAUUGUCAUACUUUUGUUAUGUUCCGUGUUUUUGGCACUUUUAUGUUUUUAAUGUGCUGUCAUUUUUGGACCGGAAUUAAAGUGCACCUGUUUACUACACUCUGCUCUCCUGCACCUGACUUCACCUCCCGUACACACUCAUAACACCCCAAGCACAUGGGGUUGGGUAGAUGGUUUUGGGAACCCCCAAUUUAGGCGUGUAACUUGGUCCUCAGAGUACGAAACUUGUGGGAGGCUUCAAUGUAUUGAUUUCCAAAGAAGACUUUCUGGAACAUCUCAAAGGUUUUUUUUUUUUUAAAUCAAUAGAUGAGGCCCAAAAGCAAGAUACAUGCCUGUGCAACAAUGGGAAUACCAGCCAGGACCUCGGCUCCUUCAAUGCAGAUUGCAUGCUCUGGAUCCUGAUGCAGAUCACUCACUGUUGAAGGAUUUUUAUCAAUAAUGACUAAAUAAUGUAUACAUUUGGCGUAGAGUUAUAACUAACAGAUUUAUAUGCUGUCUCUUGAAGAAUAUGUUUGUUCAUAGGCCAAGAGGAAGGGUCAACAGACAACUUGUGAUCACAGUGAAACUAACAACAGGAAAUAUGUCUGGUCCCCAACCAGGGAGGGGAGAAACUGUUGGGAGUGCAGUAGAUUGUGUAACAUGUGGUAGCAUAAGAUAAGUAAUAUGUAUUAUUUGGUAUAGAAUUGAUAAGCAGCUUCAUCAUUGUCCAAGAGGAGGAGGAGGGACAUUUCGUACGACAUGACGCUAUGUGUGAUAUAUAAACUAAUGUACAUGUGAUUAUGUUCAGAGCUCUCGAGAAUAAACGCUAUUGGCUAAUUUUGA